Non-coding RNA from Teratosphaeriaceae sp. CCFEE 6253, 93 nucleotides. The record is from the annotation of a GenBank genome assembly. NCBI's taxonomy places the organism in Eukaryota, Fungi, Ascomycota, Dothideomycetes, Mycosphaerellales, Teratosphaeriaceae.
GGGCGCUUGGUCUAGGGGUAUGAUUUUCGCUUCGCAAGUUGCAACAGCAAUUGAGUAUGUGAAAGGUCGCGGGUUCGAAUCCUGCAGCGUCCA